CUUAUCAAGAGUGGUUGAGGGACGGGCCCGAUGAAACCCGGCAACCGGUCAGCAAUGACAUGGUGCCAAUUCCCGCGGCGCAGAUGCGUCGGAAGAUGAGG
Molecule: non-coding RNA, 101 nt
Filed under: pig gut metagenome
Description: SAM riboswitch (S box leader)
Rfam family: SAM riboswitch aptamer (S box leader)
About the family: The SAM riboswitch is found upstream of a number of genes which code for proteins involved in methionine or cysteine biosynthesis in Gram-positive bacteria.
Source: RNAcentral